This is a long non-coding RNA of Gorilla gorilla gorilla (western lowland gorilla), 2134 nucleotides long. RefSeq lists it as uncharacterized. NCBI's taxonomy places the organism in Eukaryota, Metazoa, Chordata, Mammalia, Primates, Hominidae. The record is from RefSeq and is a predicted model, not a curated record. The transcript is spliced from 5 exons.
AGGGCUCUAGCAAGAAGAUGCCAGCAGAGGCUUGAAAAGUGCCUACCCCUGGCCUGGGAUGCUUCCUCCUGGGAUGCUCCCAUUUGGAACCCAACUAUUGUGCUGCAGAAGUUUAACUUAACUAUGUAAGGAGGCCAAGAGGAGGCCCUGGCUGCCAGCCAGCAUCAACUUCCAGUGACGUGAAUGUGCCAUUCUGGAACUGAAUCCUGCAGCCUCGGUGGAGCAGCCUCAGCUGAUGCCACGUGGAACAGAGAUGAACUGCCGUUGCCGAGCUCUGCCCACGUUGCAGAAUCAUGAGCAAAUGUAAAGCAAGAUGAACACCAUAGCUCAGGCCUAAGGAUACAACGGCUCAAGGGAGGGACAGAACACCUGGGUGAAGCUUCACUUUGAGGUACUGAUAUGGUUUGGCUGUGCCCUGACCCAAAUCUCAUCUUGAAUUGUAGCUCCCACAAUUCCCACAUGUCAUGGGAGGGACCUGGUGGAUAACCGAAUCAUGGGGGCGGGUCUUUCCCAUGUUGUUCUCGUGAUAGUGAAGAAGUCUCACAAGAUCUGAUGGUUUUAUAAAGGAGAGUUCCCCUGCAGAUGCUCUCUCUUGCCUGCUGCCAUGUAAGACAUCCCUUGCUCUUCCGCCAUGAUUGUGAGGUGUCCCCAGCCAUCUGGAACUAUGUCUUCUGUGAGACCUGGCUGGAGUUCUACAGCACCUCCUGCCUGCUACUAUCCUAACACUCUGUGGAGCAAACUCUAUUCACUUGUUCUCCAUCUUUCCCUUCUGGGCUCCGGGAGUCCAAACCUUGAGAUGUUGUGGAUUGGCUGUAACUCUGCUCUGGGAUCCAGGCUGAAGGAGCAGGCUGUAUCUGGAACAUUACUAGUCUCCAGGCCGAAGAAAAAGAGACAAUGAAGAAGAAAUAAAAUAAACUCUACAUGGCAAAAUAAACCUCUACAUGGCAAAAUAAACCUCUACAUGGAUAGAGAUCUGUCUCAGACACAUUUUGGUUUCCAUGACUUCUGAAUGGCAGCAUGAGGAGCUCCAUGAACCCUCUCCCCAGUGAAAUGACCAUAACCUCUGGAAAUUACUUAAGAUCAAAGCCACAACUAUUUAAAGCCUUUGGAAAUUGUUUUAUGGGGAUGCAGCAAAUUAAUAAACUUUUAUUCAAGAAAAUGUACUAAGUCUCAGUAAGAACAGUGAGAGUCAAUAACAUUUGUACCACAAAAGACUUCCUCCCUCCUUCUUCUAGCUCAGCAUGAUGGAAAAGUUACUCUAAGUAGGUGAAGCCGAGAACACGGGCUACCUCUUCCCCCAGCUCUCAGUUGAGGGCUACUAUAUCUCCCUGGGAGGGUGGCUGCCAGCAUUUCUCAUGCCCUCCAGCUUCAUGCUGCAAAAGCUCUACUUUGGACAAGACUGGCUGAUAAAUCUGGGGCUCACUUCGUAAACCUAGCCCCCAAUCAUAGGGCAGAAACUCCACCUCGGCCAUGGCAGGCUGAGAAUUCUGGAGCCUGUGUUACUCUGGCCUCAGCUUGCUCAUGGGGCAGAGAUUCUUUACAGGAAAGGCAAGUGCAGAAGAGCAAAAGCUACUGCUCUGUCCAGCACUCUGCUCAUAAAGCAGGAUUGUCAUCCUGAGAUAAGGGGGCCACUGUCUCUGCCUGAGUUCCCCAAGCUCCGGAGCAGUGGUGCAGAGGUUUUGCCCAAGGGGAGAGGAAGGCCGUAGAUACAGAGACCUCUGAAGUUCUUCCCAAGAAAACACUUUAUGUAGAACACAAUGUGGGAAAGUUCAAGUGUAAGGGUGUUCUCAAAAACAAUGAAGAUUUUGUUGGUAAGCAAUUAAGAGGAGCCUGGGAACUCCAUUCAAGCAACAAGCUGAACUGUAGACCAGCUAGAAGUGUUCUGGAGAGAACCAGCGAAAGCAUCAGCUAAGAAGAGCCCUCUUGGUGUUAGAAUAAGUCUCAAAGACUGACCUGAAAGAUUACCCUUGCAAAGGGGCCCAAAUUUAAUGUACAAGACAGGAGCAAUUCAUGCCUCCAGGGCAUUAUCAAACACGAAAGAACAAUCAGCCAGCAGUUGGUGGAGGCUAACGGCUGUAUGUGAUAUCAUAGCAGGCUGACAACUUACCAAAGAGAUAAGGUAAAGAGAAAAGGA